This 460-nucleotide ribosomal RNA is filed under the name uncultured bacterium. Its description in RNAcentral is "partial 16S ribosomal RNA". It matches the Rfam family "Bacterial small subunit ribosomal RNA", at positions 338 to 795 of the family's 1533-position model. The record is from RNAcentral.
CCUACGGGGGGCAGCAGUGAGGAAUAUUGGUCAAUGGACGAGAGUCUGAACCAGCCAAGUAGCGUGAAGGAUGACUGCCCUAUGGGUUGUAAACUUCUUUUAUAUGGGAAUAAAAUGUUCCACGUGUGGGAUUUUGUAUGUACCAUAUGAAUAAGGAUCGGCUAACUCCGUGCCAGCAGCCGCGGUAAUACGGAGGAUCCGAGCGUUAUCCGGAUUUAUUGGGUUUAAAGGGAGCGUAGGUGGAUUGUUAAGUCAGUUGUGAAAGUUUGCGGCUCAACCGUAAAAUUGCAGUUGAAACUGGCAGUCUUGAGUACAGUAGAGGUGGGCGGAAGUCGUGGUGUAGCGGUGAAAUGCUUAGAUAUCACGAAGAACUCCGAUUGCGAAGGCAGUUCACUGGACUGCAACUGACACUGAGGCUCGAAAGUGUGGAUAUCAAACAGGAUUAGAUACCCCAGUAGUC